GCUGAAAUAGCUCAGUUGGUAGAGCACUUCACUCGUAAUGAAGGGGUCGUGGGUUCAAGUCCCAUUUUCAGCU
Firmicutes bacterium CAG:424 is the source of this 73-nucleotide transfer RNA. It matches the Rfam family "tRNA". Rfam says of the family: Transfer RNA (tRNA) molecules are approximately 80 nucleotides in length. Their secondary structure includes four short double-helical elements and three loops (D, anti-codon, and T loops). Further hydrogen bonds mediate the characteristic L-shaped molecular structure. tRNAs have two regions of fundamental functional importance: the anti-codon, which is responsible for specific mRNA codon recognition, and the 3' end, to which the tRNAs corresponding amino acid is attached (by aminoacyl-tRNA synthetases). tRNAs cope with the degeneracy of the genetic code in two manners: having more than one tRNA (with a specific anti-codon) for a particular amino acid; and 'wobble' base-pairing, i.e. permitting non-standard base-pairing at the 3rd anti-codon position. The record is from Rfam. Lineage: Bacteria; Bacillati; Bacillota.